GACGAACGCUGGCGGCGUGCCUAAUACAUGCAAGUCGAACGAGAGCACCCGGUGCUUGCACUGGUCAAUCUAGUGGCGAACGGGUGAGUAACACGUGGGUAACCUGCCCAUCAGAGGGGGAUAACAUCCGGAAACGGAUGCUAAAACCGCACAGGUCUUCGAACCGCAUGGUUUGAAGAGGAAAAGAGGCGCAAGCUUCUGCUGAUGGAUGGACCCGCGGUGCAUUAGCUAGUUGGUGAGGUAACGGCUCACCAAGGCCGUGAUGCAUAGCCGACCUGAGAGGGUGAUCGGCCACAUUGGGACUGAGACACGGCCCAAACUCCUACGGGAGGCAGCAGUAGGGAAUCUUCCGCAAUGGACGCAAGUCUGACGGAGCAACGCCGCGUGAGUGAAGAAGGUUUUCGGAUCGUAAAACUCUGUUGUUAGAGAAGAACAAGUGCUAGAGUAACUGUUAGCGCCUUGACGGUAUCUAACCAGAAAGCCACGGCUAACUACGUG
This 498-nucleotide ribosomal RNA is filed under the name uncultured bacterium. RNAcentral describes it as "partial 16S ribosomal RNA". It matches the Rfam family "Bacterial small subunit ribosomal RNA", at positions 28 to 507 of the family's 1533-position model. The record is from RNAcentral.